RNAcentral lists this ribosomal RNA (925 nucleotides) under uncultured Bacteroidota bacterium. Its description in RNAcentral is "bacterial SSU rRNA". It matches the Rfam family "Bacterial small subunit ribosomal RNA", at positions 1 to 916 of the family's 1533-position model. The record is from RNAcentral. Lineage: Bacteria; Pseudomonadati; Bacteroidota.
GGAUCCAGACUUUGAUUAUGGCUCAGGAUGAACGCUAGCUACAGGCUUAACACAUGCAAGUCGAGGGGAAACGACAUUGGAAGCUUGCUUCCUUUGGGCGUCGACCGGCGCACGGGUGAGUAACGCGUAUCCAACCUUCCCGCAAGUAAGGGAUAACCCGUAGAAAUGCGGCCUAAUACCUUAUGUUUUCCUUAGAGGGCAUCUGAUGAGGAACAAAGAUCCGUCGCUUGCGGAUGGGGAUGCGUCUGAUUAGUUAGUCGGCGGGGUAACGGCCCACCGAGACGACGAUCAGUAGGGGUUCUGAGAGGAAAGUCCCCCACAUUGGAACUGAGACACGGUCCAAACUCCUACGGGAGGCAGCAGUGAGGAAUAUUGGUCAAUGGGCGGAAGCCUGAACCAGCCAAGUAGCGUGCAGGAUGACGGCCCUAUGGGUUGUAAACUGCUUUUAUGCGGGGAUAAAGUGGGCCACGCGUGGUCUUUUGCAGGUACCGCAUGAAUAAGGACCGGCUAAUUCCGUGCCAGCAGCCGCGGUAAUACGGAAGGUCCGGGCGUUAUCCGGAUUUAUUGGGUUUAAAGGGAGCGCAGGCCGCCGGGCAAGCGUGUUGUGAAAUGCAGUCGCUCAACGUCUGCACUGCAGCGCGAACUGCCCAGCUUGAGUGCGCGCAACGUUGGCGGAAUUCGCCGUGUAGCGGUGAAAUGCUUAGAUAUGGCGAAGAACUCCGAUUGCGAAGGCAGCUGACGGGUGCGUAACUGACGCUCAUGCUCGAAAGUGCGGGUAUCGAACAGGAUUAGAUACCCUGGUAGUCCGCACGGUAAACGAUGGAUGCCCGCUAUUCGGCCCUUGUGGUUGAGUGGCCAAGCGAAAGCGUUAAGCAUCCCACCUGGGGAGUACGCCGGCAACGGUGCAACUCAAAGGAAUUGACGG